GGUUUGGCACCUCGAUGUCGGCUCAUCGCAUCCUGGAGCUGAAGUAGGUUCCAAGGGUUGGGCUGUUCGCCCAUUAAAGCGGUACGCGAGCUGGGUUCAGAACGUCGUGAGACAGUUCGGUCCCUAUCUGUCGCGGGCGCAGGAAAUUUGAAGGGAGCUGUCCUUAGUACGAGAGGACCGGGAUGGACGCACCACUGGUGCACCAGUUGUACUGCCAAGUGCACAGCUGGGUAGCUAAGUGCGGCAGGGAUAAACGCUGAAGGCAUCUAAGCGUGAAGACCCCCCUAAGAUAAGAUUUCCCAUAGCAAAAGCUAGUAAGGUCCCAUGAAGACUACAUGGUAGAUAGGUCAAAGGUGUAAGUGCAGUAAUGCACUCAGCUGAUUGAUACUAAUAGACCGAGGGCUUGACCAA
Molecule: ribosomal RNA, 411 nt
Filed under: Petroclostridium xylanilyticum
Lineage: Bacteria; Bacillati; Bacillota; Clostridia; Eubacteriales; Oscillospiraceae
Description: bacterial LSU rRNA
Rfam family: Bacterial large subunit ribosomal RNA
Source: RNAcentral